CCCUUCUGAAAAUAACUGACACAUUUGCAUCCUAUUGGCUAUUUAAAUAUAAAAUGACCAAAAAUAGUAUCUAUGAUGAUAGGAGUCCCUAAAUAUUUGCAUAAAUACCCAUCACUCCGUGUCAAAUUGUAACUGAGGCUGCGAAAAGGAAGCACACAAAUCGACGCCAUUUUUCAACAGAUUAAGGUUUCUGAGCUCACGAAAUCCUAGUAUUAUUACUUUUAAUGAUAACAAUAGGAAUAAGAAGAGCAGGAUUUCUAUAUUGAGGAUUUACAUGUAUGGGACAGAGGACUAUUUGGCUUGAUUUUACUUUAAAAAACUUUUUAAUUUUAACAAUAGUUCUCCUUAAUUGUUUAAAAUACUUUUUACAUAUUUUUCAUUUUAACAUUAUUUUUAUGACUUUGUAUUUAUUCAUCACUUAAUAAACUUUUAUUUCUAAACAUUUUUAUAUUUUCAAAUAUACAUACAAUGUGAAACACUCCACCAUUUUAUAUUGAUAACGUGGGGUAAAUGUACAUGAGACACUAAACUGUUGCAAUACAAUAUUACUUAAUGUCAUUGAAAAACCUGAGAUUCAUUGAUGCAAAGCUAGCAUAUUCAUA
This is a long non-coding RNA of Mytilus trossulus (common blue mussel), 602 nucleotides long. RefSeq lists it as uncharacterized. The transcript has 2 exons. The record is from RefSeq and is a predicted model, not a curated record. Lineage: Eukaryota; Metazoa; Mollusca; Bivalvia; Mytilida; Mytilidae.